This 351-nucleotide ribosomal RNA is filed under the name uncultured bacterium. RNAcentral describes it as "bacterial SSU rRNA". It matches the Rfam family "Bacterial small subunit ribosomal RNA", at positions 32 to 359 of the family's 1533-position model. The record is from RNAcentral.
AAUCAACGCUGGCGGCGUGCCUAACACAUGCAAGUCGAACGCGAAAGGGGGCGUUCGGCUCCUAAGUAGAGUGGCGUCCGGGUGAGUAACACGUAGGUAAUCUGCCUUCGGGUGGGGAAGUAACCAGUCGAAGAUUGGCUAAUACCGCAUAAUGCAGCGGCACCUAAUGGUGAUUAGUUGUUAAAGCGGGGGAGUCGUAAGACCUCGCGCCUGAAGAGGAGCCUGCGGCAGAUUAGCUAGUUGGUGAGGUAAUGGCUCACCAAGGCUUCGAUCUGUAGCUGGUCUGAGAGGACGGCCAGCCACACUGGCACUGACACACGGGCCAGACUCCUACGGGAGGCAGCAGUGGGG